This 366-nucleotide transfer-messenger RNA is filed under the name Terriglobales. RNAcentral's name for it is "JAIQGF01 sp020073285 Standard tmRNA". It matches the Rfam family "transfer-messenger RNA". Rfam says of the family: Bacterial tmRNA, also known as 10Sa RNA or SsrA, is named for its dual tRNA and mRNA-like properties. Its role is to liberate the mRNA from a stalled ribosome. Lineage: Bacteria; Pseudomonadati; Acidobacteriota; Terriglobia. The record is from RNAcentral. RNAcentral also lists the same sequence under 1 other name.
GGGGGCGUCACGGCUUCGACGGAGAUGCUUGCGGCAGAGAGGCAUACCGGGGUGCACACACCCGUAAUCGCGUGCAAAACCAAUAAUUGCCAACCAAACACUGGCAUACGCUGCUUAAUUAGUUAAGUAGCCGUCCUCCGCGGCUUCGCCUACGGGCCGUGAAAGGGCGUCGCACAGUAGGCUGGCUUCCGCGUGCGGCCCGAGCGCGGGAGCGAGAACCAGGGCUAGCGGCCCGCGUUUCUUGUCGUGUUCUGAGCGUGGGCUGCGAACGUUUCCCUUGAGUGGGAAGCAGGAACGCGAAUAAGUAUGUAGGCUCUCUGCCAGUGACAGCUUCGGACGCGGGUUCAACUCCCGCCGCCUCCACCA